RNAcentral lists this ribosomal RNA (301 nucleotides) under uncultured bacterium. RNAcentral describes it as "partial 16S ribosomal RNA". It matches the Rfam family "Bacterial small subunit ribosomal RNA", at positions 509 to 809 of the family's 1533-position model. The record is from RNAcentral.
CAGCAGCCGCGGGAAUACAGAGGGUGCAAGCGUUAAUCGGAUUUACUGGGCGUAAAGCGUGCGUAGGCGGCUUCUUAAGUCGGAUGUGAAAUCCCUGAGCUUAACUUAGGAAUUGCAUUCGAUACUGGGAAGCUAGAGUAUGGGAGAGGAUGGUAGAAUUCCAGGUGUAGCGGUGAAAUGCGUAGAGAUCUGGAGGAAUACCGAUGGCGAAGGCAGCCAUCUGGCCUAAUACUGACGCUGAGGUACGAAAGCAUGGUGAGCAAACAGGAUUAGAUACCCCAGUAGUCCCUGUCUCUUAUAA